This 253-nucleotide ribosomal RNA is filed under the name uncultured bacterium. RNAcentral's name for it is "partial 16S ribosomal RNA". It matches the Rfam family "Bacterial small subunit ribosomal RNA", at positions 524 to 776 of the family's 1533-position model. The record is from RNAcentral.
UACGUAGGGGGCUAGCGUUGUCCGGAAUCAUUGGGCGUAAAGAGCGUGUAGGCGGCUUUGCAAGUCGGAUGUGAAAGCCCUCGGCUCAACCGAGGAAGUGCGUUCGAAACUGCAGAGCUUGAGUGCCGGAGAGGGUGGCGGAAUUCCCCAAGUAGAGGUGAAAUUCGUAGAUAUGGGGAGGAACACCGGUGGCGAAGGCGGCCACCUGGACGGUCACUGACGCUGAGACGCGAAAGCGUGGGUAGCAAACAGG